AGACGAGUGGCGAACUGGUGAGUAACACGUGGGUAACCUGCCCUUGAAGUAGGGGAUAACACUUGGAAACAGGUGCUAAUACCGUAUAACAACCAAAACCACCUGGUUUUGGUUUAAAAGAUGGCUUCGGCUAUCACUUUAGGAUGGACCCGCGGCGUAUUAGCUUGUUGGUAAGGUAACGGCCUACCAAGGCAAUGAUACGUAGCCGACCUGAGAGGGUAAUCGGCCACAUUGGGACUGAGACACGGCCCAAACUCCUACGGGAGGCAGCAGUAGGGAAUCUUCCACAAUGGACGCAAGUCUGAUGGAGCAACGCCGCGUGAGUGAAGAAGGCUUUCGGGUCGUAAAACUCUGUUGUUGGAGAAGAAUGGUCGGCAGAGUAACUGUUGUCGGCGUGACGGUAUCCAACCAGAAAGCCACGGCUAACUACGUGCCAGCAGCCGCGGUAAUACGUAGGUGGCAAGCGUUAUCCGGAUUUAUUGGGCGUAAAGCGAGCGCAGGCGGUUUUUUAAGUCUGAUGUGAAAGCCCUCGGCUUAACCGAGGAAGCGCAUCGGAAACUGGGAAACUUGAGUGCAGAAGAGGACAGUGGAACUCCAUGUGUAGCGGUGAAAUGCGUAGAUAUAUGGAAGAACACCAGUGGCGAAGGCGGCUGUCUGGUCUGUAACUGACGCUGAGGCUCGAAAGCAUGGGUAGCGAACAGGAUUAGAUACCCUGGUAGUCCAUGCCGUAAACGAUGAAUGCUAGGUGUU
RNAcentral lists this ribosomal RNA (750 nucleotides) under uncultured bacterium. RNAcentral's name for it is "bacterial SSU rRNA". It matches the Rfam family "Bacterial small subunit ribosomal RNA", at positions 89 to 824 of the family's 1533-position model. The record is from RNAcentral.